Molecule: ribosomal RNA, 253 nt
Filed under: uncultured bacterium
Lineage: Bacteria
Description: partial 16S ribosomal RNA
Rfam family: Bacterial small subunit ribosomal RNA
Source: RNAcentral
UACGUAGGGUGCGAGCGUUAAUCGGAAUUACUGGGCGUAAAGCGUGCGCAGGCGGUUAUGCAAGACAGAUGUGAAAUCCCCGGGCUCAACCUGGGAACUGCAUUUGUGACUGCACAGCUGGAGUGCGGCAGAGGGGGAUGGAAUUCCGCGUGUAGCAGUGAAAUGCGUAGAUAUGCGGAGGAACACCGAUGGCGAAGGCAAUCCCCUGGGCCUGCACUGACGCUCAUGCACGAAAGCGUGGGGAGCAAACAGG